UCACUCUGGGACAAGCCCUGGAAACGGGGUCUAAUACCGGAUAACACCGGCUUCCGCAUGGGAGCUGGUUGAAAGCUCCGGCGGUGAAGGAUGAGCCCGCGGCCUAUCAGCUUGUUGGUGGGGUAAUGGCCUACCAAGGCGACGACGGGUAGCCGGCCUGAGAGGGCGACCGGCCACACUGGGACUGAGACACGGCCCAGACUCCUACGGGAGGCAGCAGUGGGGAAUAUUGCACAAUGGGCGAAAGCCUGAUGCAGCGACGCCGCGUGAGGGAUGACGGCCUUCGGGUUGUAAACCUCUUUCAGCAGGGAAGAAGCGAAAGUGACGGUACCUGCAGAAGAAGCGCCGGCUAACUACGUGCCAGCAGCCGCGGUAAUACGUAGGGCGCAAGCGUUGUCCGGAAUUAUUGGGCGUAAAGAGCUCGUAGGCGGCUUGUCACGUCGGGUGUGAAAGCCCGGGGCUUAACCCCGGGUCUGCAUCCGAUACGGGCAGGCUAGAGUGUGGUAGGGGAGAUCGGAAUUCCUGGUGUAGCGGUGAAAUGCGCAGAUAUCAGGAGGAACACCGGUGGCGAAGGCGGAUCUCUGGGCCAUUACUGACGCUGAGGAGCGAAAGCGUGGGGAGCGAACAGGAUUAGAUACCCUGGUAGUCCACGCCGUAAACGUUGGGAACUAGGUGUUGGCGACAUUCCACGUCGUCGGUGCCGCAGCUAACGCAUUAAGUUCCCCGCCUGGGGAGUACGGCCGCAAGGCUAAACUCAAAGGAAUUGACGGGGGCCCGCACAAGCAGCGGAGCAUGUGGCUAAUUCGACGCAACGCGAAGAACCUUACCAAGGCUUGACAUAUACCGGAAAG
This 851-nucleotide ribosomal RNA is filed under the name uncultured bacterium. RNAcentral's name for it is "bacterial SSU rRNA". It matches the Rfam family "Bacterial small subunit ribosomal RNA", at positions 133 to 997 of the family's 1533-position model. The record is from RNAcentral.